This is a long non-coding RNA of Hevea brasiliensis (rubber tree), 576 nucleotides long. RefSeq lists it as uncharacterized. NCBI's taxonomy places the organism in Eukaryota, Viridiplantae, Streptophyta, Magnoliopsida, Malpighiales, Euphorbiaceae. The record is from RefSeq and is a predicted model, not a curated record. The transcript is spliced from 3 exons.
AUUUCCCAAAACUAUUUACCCUCUCUCUCUCUCAUUUCUAUUGGACUUUCGCAAAGCUCCCUCUCCCCUCAUUGCAGCCGAGGCUCUGCUAACUAUUUCAGUUCUUUAAGCCUACUCAAACUUUUCAAAACCUCCUCGUGCUCUCCUUUUCGCCAUUUUUGUUUUAAUUCGAUUCCCCCCUUCAACUCUCUCUAUUUUACCUAUUCGAAUUCAGUUUGUCAAAAGACAUUUGAUAUUUAGUCCCAAGGGCCAAAGCAUUAUGGAAUUUCAGAAUACUAGUAUAUAUGUGUGUGGGUGGCUGAAUGGUUGAUCAACUUCAUAGUUCUAUCAAAUGACUCAUUUGACAUGUCCUAUUCAUUUUCCAUUUAACUCUUUUCCCAUCUCUACAAAAGGAUUUUGUUUACAGAACGAUGUCAAGCGAAGAUGGUUCCCAAGAUCACCAAUACCAACAACCACGAUACUACCAACAAACUUCUGGUGCAGGAAAUAGCUUUGAGGGGAGUUAUGGCCAGGUUGUGGAAGUAGGAUGGUAUAUUCUUGGUGAAAAUCAACAACAUGUUGGACCUUAUGCGUCUU